Molecule: long non-coding RNA, 1360 nt
Organism: Engraulis encrasicolus (European anchovy)
Lineage: Eukaryota; Metazoa; Chordata; Actinopteri; Clupeiformes; Engraulidae
Exons: 7
Source: RefSeq, a predicted model, not a curated record
AAUAUGCGUCAGUCGUGAGUUCCUGUUUGUGGCGAGUAUAUUAAGGCACAUUUCAUAGAAAGCUAUACCCAUUUCGAAUAGGAGGAAACGGUAACUACUCUUUUAAGGGCAAGGAGCAAAUGAAUAAGCACUUUGUCAUAACUGCAGCGGUUUGCUAUCCUGUGGUGGAUUUGGGAAUAUAUUUGCUACAUUUCAUUGGAAAGUAGUAUGCUCGUCCAGCCUUCGUCCAGGUUCUGUCAGUUAGCUAAUAACCAAGACACUACGGUAAGUCAUAAUGUUAGCCCCUCUGGGAUUCAUUUGGUUGCUAUUUCGCAUAGCUUAUAACGGCUGGUUGGCUGUCAGUGGUUGGGCAGAUUCUUUUAGGUAGAGGGCUAAGUGUGUCUACUCAACGAUAAAUUGAGGUUCAGUACACAAUGAGGCGAUAUACUUUCUAUACGGGCUGUGAUACUACUAGCCUAAUGCAGGACGCAACUGACACAAAUCUGAGAAAUUAGCUAACUAUAUCUAGCCGCUACCUGGCUCCACUCGACCUAGAAUUCAGUUCAUAACGACAGCAUUUUCGUUUGGGGUCCGCAAGCUGGCAUCUGGAGACUGUCUUCGGUUUCCACAAGUGUCAUGUUAGUUCUACAUACUGUAGGGGAGUCGACGGGCUUUCUUCUUUUUCUGUGUCAACUAGAACUAGUUUUAUGAGAGCAAGUGCUUGUGUUGUGUGACUUCUCCUGACUCCUGCGAUGUUCUUCCGAGCUCAGCUCACUGCGACUUGCACCUUUCACAAGUCCGAACUCUGAUAAAGGCAGAGGGAGGGAUAGCUCGCGCAUGAAAUAUUACCGGUGGACUUCUCUCCUCUGACCUGUUACCAAGACAGCUGGGUGUGUAGGAAACUGGAACUAAGUCACUGAAGAAGUAAACCGAUGAAAACCGAUUUGGAUUGUCUGAGAGAUCUGUAGGACACAAGUAAGAGGAGAAGAAUGCUGCUCAGCUGGGUCGGCGUCGGCUACACUACUUAUUCAAGAAGCCCUUGGAUAUCAUCGGCAUGUAUGAAGCACAGUCAUUCCGGUAGUCCGUUCCUCGAUGGACGUGAUGACCUGGCACCAAAACCGCUUAAAGUGUAUGGAGCUGUGUCUGCAUCGAGGAAAGAACGCGGCACUGAAAUGACAAGAGGACUACUGCUCUACUGGGUCUGUGACACUACUUAUCCGAGGAGUCCUCAAACAUCAGGAUGUAGGAAGACACAAGUAAAAGGAGAAGAAUGCUGUUCAGCUGGGUCGGCGGCCACACUACUUAUUCAAGAAGCUCUUGGAUAUCAUCGGCAUGUAUGAAGUCCACUGAUGCCAAGCUGCUAAGGACCCCCACCCCCCCC